RNAcentral lists this ribosomal RNA (468 nucleotides) under uncultured bacterium. Its description in RNAcentral is "partial 16S ribosomal RNA". It matches the Rfam family "Bacterial small subunit ribosomal RNA", at positions 28 to 507 of the family's 1533-position model. The record is from RNAcentral.
GACGAACGCUGGCGGCGUGCUUAACACAUGCAAGUCGAACGGAAAGGCCCUGCUUUUGUGGGGUGCUCGAGUGGCGAACGGGUGAGUAACACGUGAGUAACCUGCCCUUGACUUUGGGAUAACUUCAGGAAACUGGGGCUAAUACCGGAUAGGAGCUCCUGCUGCAUGGUGGGGGUUGGAAAGUUCCGGCGGUUGGGGAUGGACUCGCGGCUUAUCAGCUUGUUGGUGGGGUAGUGGCUUACCAAGGCUUUGACGGGUAGGCGGCCUGAGAGGGUGAACGGGCACAUUGGGCCUGAGAUACGGCCCAGACUCCUACGGUAGGCAGUAGGGGGGAAUAUGGCACAAUGGGCGGAAGCCUGAUGCAGCAACGCCCCGUGCGUGAUGACGGCCUUCGGGUUGUAAACCGCUGUCGCCUUUGACGAAGCGUGCGUGACGGUAAUGGGUAAAGAAGCACCGGCUAACUACGUG